CUUUCCUCUCCUGCAAGCUAAGGUUUUAGAUUUUACUUCCACAAAGGAAAGAGGAUAGAAAGAGGCCCAAUCUUUUCAUUCUGUUGGAGGGAUUUUUGUUGGAAACGCUUGGGAGUAUUUUGUUACUUACAGAAUGCAAUACACUCCAGAAACCAUCCAAUCUUUGUCACAGUGUUUUUUGCAAACCCUAGUGCCGAAUCCGGAGCCGAGAAGACAGGCAGAGGAGUAUCUGAAACAGGCAGCCAAUCAGCCAGGGUAUGGGAUUGCCAUUUUGCGGCUGCUGUCCGAGCAGGCAGUGGAGGAGCAAGUCAGACAGGCAGCCGCCGUAAAUUUCAAGAACUAUGUGAGAUACAGAUGGGCGGUGCAGGAGGCGGAUUCUUCCGAUUACGCCGAAAUACAGGAUCCCGACAAGGAACAAAUCAAAGUGGUUAUUGUGGCAUCCAUGCUGAACGCGCCUCCGCGUGUGCAGAGCCAGCUGAGUGAAGCCCUGGCCAUCAUAAGCAAGCACGAUUUUCCCAAGGCGUGGCAAACCCUGCUGCCGGAACUCGUGUCGAACCUUCAGGCUUCCGCCGACUACAAGGUUAUCAAUGGAGUUCUUCAAACUGCCAACUCGAUUUUCAAGAAGUUUAGGUACCAGUACAAGAGCAACGAUCUCUACGUUGAUCUCAAGUAUUGCCUUGAUGGCUUCGCGGCUCCAUUGCUCGAUAUAUUUCUGCGAACGGGGCAGCUUAUUGUGAGUAAUUCGCAGAAUGGGGCGGUGUUGGGGCAGCUGUUUGAAUGCCAGAGGCUGUGUUGCAGGAUCUUCUUUUCACUAAACUUUCAGGAGCUACCUGAGUUUUUUGAGAACCAUAUGAAGGAAUGGAUGACGGAGUUUCGCACUUACUUGACCACUCCGUACCCCGCAGUGGAGGACAGCCUUGUGGACCAUCUCAGAGCUGCCAUCUGCGAGAACAUCAAUCUUUAUAUGGAAAAGAAUGAAGAGGAGUUCCAGGACUAUCUGAAGGACUUUGCUUCCGCCGUCUGGGGUUUACUUAUGAACAUUUCUACUACGCCUAGUCAUGACCGAUUGGCUGUUACUGCCAUCAAGUUUUUGACAACGGUAAGCAAGAGUGUUCAUCAUGUAUUGUUUAGUGGCAUCGAUGUUUUGCAACAGAUUUGCGAGAGCAUCGUGGUGCCCAAUGUUAUGAUCAGGGAUGAGGACGAGGAGCUGUUUGAGAUGAACCAUGUCGAAUAUAUUAGAAGAGAUAUUGAGGGUAGUGAUCUUGACACAAGAAGGCGAAUUGCCUGCGAGUUAGUGAAAGGGCUCGCAACCCAUUAUAGGGAACAUGUGAUGGGUAUGAUCUCAAUGCAUAUACAGAACAUGCAGGCAAAAUAUGCUGCUAAACCCGCGGAGAACUGGAAGGAGAAGAACUGUGCUAUAUACUUGGUAGUUUCUCUGUCAACUAAACAGGCUGCCGGAACAUCGGUAAGUACAGAUUUGGUCAAUUUUGAACAGUUUGUCAUGUCUAUGAUAAUGCCCGAGUUGCAAAGCGAGGAUGUGAACUCACAAGCAUUGUUGAAGGCGGAUGCUUUGAAGUUUAUCACAACAUUCCGCUACCAAAUUCCCAAGGCCACUGCUCUGAGUCUGAUUCCUCAUUUAAUGAGAUUCCUUUUAUCUGAAUCCAAUGUCGUUCAUUCUUAUGCUGCUAAUUGCAUUGAGAAAAUGCUAAUCAUUAAGGAAGGCAAUCAGUUACGGUAUACUUCAGCAGACAUCAAUCAAUUUGUGCAGCCUCUUAUGACCAAUCUGUUUAAUGCACUUAAAUUGCCAGAAUCCCAAGAGAAUGCAUAUGUAAUGAAGUGUAUAAUGAGGGUUUUGGGAAUUGCACACCUUCCUGGAGAUCUGGCAAUUGGCUGCCUUACAGGUUUAACGACCAUUCUUAAUGAAGUUUGUAAGAAUCCUAAAAAUCCUGUUUUCAAUCAUUAUUUGUUUGAGUCAGUUGCUGGGUUGGUAAGACGAGCCUGUGAAAAAGAGCCAAGUUUGAUUACAAGUUUUGAAGCGAACCUGUUUCCAGUUUUACAAACUAUUAUGGUUCAUGAUGUGACUGAAUUCUUACCAUAUGCGCUUCAACUACUGGCCCAGCUUAUUGAAAUAAAUCGGCCUCCUCUUCCUCCAACUUACAUGCCGGUUUUCCAGCUGCUUCUUUCCCCUGAAACCUGGCAGAAAAAAGCCAACGUUCCUGCUCUUGUAAGGUUAUUGCAGGCCUAUUUAGAAAAGUCUCCCCAAGAAGUGAGUCAAGAAGGGCGACUGAGUCAAGUGCUUGGUAUAUUUAGUAAGCUAAUUUCAGCAAAGAGCACAGAAAGUUCAGGGUUUUACAUACUGAACACCACUAUACAAUUUUUAAGCUAUGAAGCAAUAUCUCCUUAUUUGGGAAACAUCUGGAGUGUACUCUUUCUUCGGCUUCAAGAAGCACAUACUGUUAAAUUCGAUAAGUCAGUUAUAAUUUUCAUGUCUCUCUUUUUGGUUAAGCAUGGUCAUACAAUUCUUAUCGAGUCUAUCAAUGCAGUUCAGCCAGGUAUUUUUCCGGUAAUUGUGGAGCGGUUUUGGGUGCCUACAAUCAAAUCGAUUGUGGGGGUUUAUGAGACAAAGUUGUGCUUAGUUGCAUCGACAAGGCUUUUAUGUGAAUCUCCAAUAUUCUUGGGUGAUUCACACAUUCAGCUCUGGGGGAAAAUGCUUGAUAGCAUUAUGAGUUUGCUUGUGAGACCAGAGGGAGAGAGGGUGGAGGAGGAGGUGGAAAUUCCAGACCUAGAAGAAACUGCAGGAUACGCUCCAGCAUUUGCUCAACUUUACAAUGCUGGAAAGAAAGAGGAGGAUCCAGUUACGGAUGUUAAAGAUCCCAAAGGAUUUCUUGUAUCUUCAUUGGCGAGAAUAUCUGCACAUGCCCCUGGAAAGUAUCCUGGCAUCAUUCAGCAGUCAUUGGAACCAGCCAAUCAAACUGCACUUUCUGAGUUCUGCAGUACUUAUGGGUUUGCUAUUGUCUAGUCAGUGUUGAUGAUAUCAGUGGGAUUGAACAUGUUCUAGAAGAGGAGUGAAGGGAUCAACAAACCGAUUUCUUCCUGUGCAUGGUGCUGUUCCAAAUCAUCUCUGGGCUCUUGCAAAACAUUCCUUAUCAUUUUCUGAAACGUUUCCGAAGUUGGUAUCUCUCGCAUGGUUUUCUCUUCUGUUGAGAUUGUGAAGGAAGGAUGCUGGGUUACAAGUUUCGAGGCACAGCAUUUUGGAAUUAGGACCAUUUUGUUGUGAAAAAAUGUUAUAUUGCGAAAGUAGUGCUGAAGCUUUGCCCAAGAGAAGAAUUUUAUGAAGAAUCCUCAUAGUAUAGUCAUGCAAUUUGGAGUCUUAAGUUUUCAUUAUCAUUUUAUGUGCGAUCAACAUGUGAAGUUGGUCUGUGGCGUUGAUAUUGGGACUUCUAUAUUGUAAAUGUGAAUGUGUACUGUGCAAUAUCUUCUACUCUUCAAAAGGGUGGCAUAAAUAAUGAUUGCGUAACAUCGUUGCCAAAUUUGAGAAUUUUUGAGUCGGACAAUUGAGUUUUGUUAUAGAUUAUAUUGGAACACAUUAAACAAUUUUGCAGUAAACAUACUGUUUGAUUGAAUUUUUCAAAAUAUGUAGAAAGCCGUACACUCCUUUACAAUGUUGAACAUGAGAAGAAUUCUGCAGAGACCUCGUUUCCUGAAAUGCCAGAGAUAUUAUUGUAAAAGGGUGUAUGCAACUUUACAUUAAAAACAUUUAUAGUGUGAAUAUACGUUAUUGUUCCUUUAA
RNA transcript from Cryptomeria japonica (Japanese cedar), 3790 nucleotides. It is a transcript of the gene named exportin-2, with no coding region annotated. The record is from RefSeq and is a predicted model, not a curated record. The transcript has 4 exons. Lineage: Eukaryota; Viridiplantae; Streptophyta; Pinopsida; Cupressales; Cupressaceae.